GUAGAGGAAGUCUAUUUAUUACAGCACAUCUGAAUAUUUUAUAAAUGUAUAUACGCUAAAUACAAUUAUAAUCAAUUUAACAGCAUAUUCCUAGUAUAAAGUGAGAGCAAGCUAAACUGUAGCAAGAUGUAUAUACUCACUAACAUGACUUCAAAAGAUGGAUACAAAAUCCUGCAAUUGCCAAAUUAAAAAAAAAUAUAUGUGCCAGUUCAUUAACAAUUUAGGAAUUAGUCAGAAACCACAGUAUACAUUUUCGUCUAUUUCAUUUAUCCAUUUUAUUAUAAUAUACUAACAUAUUAUUACCUUUCUAUCUCUCAUUAGUCAUAUGUUACGUAUAGCCAUUUCCAAAUAAACCCACUUACAGACAUGUUUGACAUUAAUAUUACUAUAUAGUCAUUAACAUUUUUUUCAUAUGAAAAAAAAACAUAAUUUGUAAUUACAUGAGACGCUCCAUCAUCUGUCUCACGUGUUUACAAUUUAUUUUCAAAAAUCAUCUGGAUUACUGUCUUUAACCCCUUAAUGACACAACUUCUGGAAUAAAAGGAAUCAUGACGGAAUAUUUGCUGCCUUAUGAGUGAUCCAGUUCUGCCUCAGAUGUCUGAGAUUGAAUGGAGUCACACACCUGGGCAGCAUGUUUUUUUCUGGUGUGCGCAUUUGCUAGCGGCUGAAUAACUUUACACAGGUAAACUGGAGCAUAAAAAUAUAUCAAACACAAUAUAACAUUUGUCUUUGACAAAUUCCAACAAAAGUACUUGCACCAUUGCACCACACAAAAGUAAUAAAUAGGUUAUAUCUGUUCAUAAUAAAGGAGGUAGAAAGAGAAAGGAAUAAAGACCUCUGUAAAAGCUAUAAAAUGUCUUCUAGUGCAGAACUGCCAUUUGCAAACAAGUAGGGAAAUGGUGACCAAUAUUGGCAUUGCAUAUAACUUUGGACUACAUUCCAAUGGACUACAUUGGACACAUAAUCUCAUCAUUGGAGAACAUUACAGGUUGAAUGAGAUAUAUAUUGAAUAAUGCAUUUAAAAAAAUGUAUAAAGGUUUGAGCAGGCUAAUACCAUACAAGACAUUGUACAACAUUUCCUGGCAACCCACAUCCAGCUGGAUGACCCAAGUAUAGCUGGUAGUUAGGGACAUUAAUGCAUUUUCCUUUUAAAUGAUACUGACAGUGCGUCACAUAAUUGUAUAACUGUAGCUAUCUCAAGAGUAGAGAGGGUAGUAAAUUAACAUUACAUUCACAAAUACAUGCAACAGGCAUGCAUUAGAAUAUUGGUGUGAGUGUGUACAUGUAUGACCACAGCAAAAUCAGAUAGUAGCCAUCCUGGUAGAUUUUGGGUGUUAGUUAUCAGAUCAUUACAGCCCUCUACUCAUAUUUGUUUCAUUAGGAUGCUGGGUCUGUACUUUUAUUCUCUCUGCUUCAAAAAAACUCUCAAACUCACCAACAUCCCUUGUUGUUGGCAUCUAUUUCUGACUCCUUCAAUCUAUUGUGCCCAUUGAUGUACCAAUAUUGUGUCAAUUUCAUCCAUUUAACGACAUUUGUAGCAAUUUUAGUUGUUUACUACUCUAUUUCAGGCCAAUGUAAAUGGAGAGCUUCCCUGAGUAUCUACAUUUGAAGAAACUCACAAACAACUGUGGUCUGGAAACAUUUCCCUUGAGUCAAUGAAGACAUAACGUGAGCAAACCUGGCAAAAUGUAUAAAGUGCAGUGUGAUUCUAAAAACAAUUAUCUCACCUAGCACUCCAUAUAUUUCCCUAUGAGAGUUUUGAAGACUAGACUAGACUUUAUGUACACCUUGAAGCAUAACUGUACAUUAUUUUACAGUUGACCACUAACCUACAGGAUAAAAGUGGUGAAUAUUUGAGGAUAGUAUCAAUACAUAUAGAUAGAUAGAUAGAGAGAGGGAGCAUUUUGAAUAUACUUGAAGAUAAAAAGUCGGGAUUCUUAAUAAAGAAUAAGUGAAUGAGGCAGGAGUAAACAUCCUAUUAUAAUUGUCUUGUACAUUACGUUUGAACUAAAUAAAUAUGGUCAUCAAAUAAAUGGUACAUUGAGAUAAAUCACAACCCAAGUCCUAAAUAUACAUCCAAAGAUCCCAAGGCACAAAGCCUACAGAUGCC
RNAcentral lists this long non-coding RNA (2110 nucleotides) under Pelobates cultripes (western spadefoot toad). Lineage: Eukaryota; Metazoa; Chordata; Amphibia; Anura; Pelobatidae. The record is from RNAcentral.